GGGGAAUAUUGCACAAUGGGGGAAACCCUGACGCAGCGACUCCGCGUGAGUGAAGAAGUAUUUCGGUAUGUAAUGCGCUAUCAGCCGGGAAGAUAAUGACGGUACCUGACUAAGAAGCCCCGGCUCACUACGUGCCAGCAGCCGCGGUAAUACGUAGGGGGCAAGCGUUAUCCGGAUUUACUGGGUGUAAAGGGAGCGUAGGUGGCAAGGCAAGUCAGAUGUGAAAGCCCGGGGCUCAACCCCGGUACUGCAUUUGAAACUGUCUAGCUAGAGUGCAGGAGAGGUAAGUGGAAUUCCUAGUGUAGCGGUGAAAUGCGUAGAUAUUAGGAGGAACACCAGUGGCGAAGGCGGCUUACUGGACUGUAACUGACACUGAGGCUCGAAAGCGUGGGGAGCAAACAGG
RNAcentral lists this ribosomal RNA (403 nucleotides) under uncultured bacterium. RNAcentral describes it as "bacterial SSU rRNA". It matches the Rfam family "Bacterial small subunit ribosomal RNA", at positions 356 to 776 of the family's 1533-position model. The record is from RNAcentral.